GAUGAACGCUGGCGGCGUGCCUAAUACAUGCAAGUCGAGCGAACAGACGAGGAGCUUGCUCCUCUGACGUUAGCGGCGGACGGGUGAGUAACACGUGGAUAACCUACCUAUAAGACUGGGAUAACUUCGGGAAACCGGAGCUAAUACCGGAUAAUAUAUUGAACCGCGUGGUUCAAUAGUGAAAGACGGUUUUGCUGUCACUUAUAGAUGGAUCCGCGCCGCAUUAGCUAGUUGGUAAGGUAACGGCUUACCAAGGCAACGAUGCGUAGCCGACCUGAGAGGGUGAUCGGCCACACUGGAACUGAGACACGGUCCAGACUCCUACGGGAGGCAGCAGUAGGGAAUCUUCCGCAAUGGGCGAAAGCCUGACGGAGCGACGCCGCGUGAGUGAUGAAGGUCUUCGGAUCGUAAAACUCUGUUAUUAGGGAAGAACAAAUGUGUAAGUAACUAUGCACGUCUUGACGGUACCUAAUCAGAAAGCCACGGCUAACUACGUG
RNAcentral lists this ribosomal RNA (497 nucleotides) under uncultured bacterium. RNAcentral describes it as "partial 16S ribosomal RNA". It matches the Rfam family "Bacterial small subunit ribosomal RNA", at positions 28 to 507 of the family's 1533-position model. The record is from RNAcentral.